UACAGAGGGGGCAAGCGUUAUUCGGAAUUACUGGGCGUAAAGGGCGCGUAGGCGGCCUACUAAGUCGGACGUGAAAUCCCUCGGCUCAACCGGGGAACUGCGUCCGAUACUGGUGGGCUCGAAUCCGGGAGAGGGAUGUGGAAUUCCAGGUGUAGCGGUGAAAUGCGUAGAUAUCUGGAGGAACACCGGUGGCGAAGGCGGCAUCCUGGACCGGUAUUGACGCUGAUGCGCGAAAGCCAGGGGAGCAAACGGG
RNAcentral lists this ribosomal RNA (253 nucleotides) under uncultured bacterium. RNAcentral describes it as "partial 16S ribosomal RNA". It matches the Rfam family "Bacterial small subunit ribosomal RNA", at positions 524 to 776 of the family's 1533-position model. The record is from RNAcentral.